UACGUAGGGGGCAAGCGUUGUCCGGAUUUAUUGGGCGUAAAGAGCGUGUAGGCGGCCAGGGAGGUCCGUUGUGAAAACUCGAGGCUCAACCUCGAGACGCCGAUGGAAACCCCCUGGCUAGAGUCCGGAAGAGGAGAAUGGAAUUCCUGGUGUAGCGGUGGAAUGCGCAGAUAUCAGGAAGAACACCCGUGGCGAAGGCGGCUCUCUGGAACGCAACUGACGCUGAGACGCGAAAGCGUGGGGAGCAAACAGG
This 253-nucleotide ribosomal RNA is filed under the name uncultured bacterium. Its description in RNAcentral is "partial 16S ribosomal RNA". It matches the Rfam family "Bacterial small subunit ribosomal RNA", at positions 524 to 776 of the family's 1533-position model. The record is from RNAcentral.